AGCAGGAUUAUGAUGAAAAAAGGUAAACAUAAUUAUUGAAGCGAACUUAGAAUAGUGCGAGCUAGGUAAUUGAUUAUUUUUAUUGGCGUUUUCGGAGUCCUUUGUUAAUGAAGCUGCCGGUUAAUUAACCGGAAGUAGGGUGGAACCGCGAUAUUAAAAUCGUCCCUAUG
RNAcentral lists this unclassified non-coding RNA (170 nucleotides) under Dellaglioa algida. RNAcentral's name for it is "Lactobacillus algidus T-box". The record is from RNAcentral. Lineage: Bacteria; Bacillati; Bacillota; Bacilli; Lactobacillales; Lactobacillaceae.